GGCGACAGAGCAAGACUCCGUCUCAAAAAGAAAAAAAAGGAGCACUGCCAGUUGGCAAGGAAGGACUCUGUGUGGUGAUCUAGGGACAAAUGGUGAGACGUCGAGGGAAUUGAGGGACAUUUCAGGGUAGAAUCAAUAGGAACUGGACCCUGCCUGAGCUGCUGGUCCUUCUAGCUUCCAGAAUGAUAACCCCACCCCAAGGUGCCUCUGGCACCUGCUCGGGCAGCACUAGGAAUACCACACUGAGACUGUGCAUACCCAGCAGGGCAGGGUGGAAUGCUCGUUGCCUGUGUAGUUCACCCAGCGGCAGGGCCUGGCUUAACUUCCAACCUGGCCUUGGCUUAACUUCCUGAGUGACCUGUCUCUGCCAUCCCCUACCGUGCUCCCGUCUCUAUAUAAGAUGCAUGAAUUUAGUACCUGAAGUAGUCCCUGGCGCAGCAUAGAUACUCAUGAAGUGGUAGCUGAGUUUUUUUGUUGUUCUUGUUUGUUUGUUUGCUUGUUUGUUGUAGAGACAGGGCCUCACUGUUGCCCAGGCUGGUCUCGAACUCCUGGCCUCAAGCAAUCCUCCCAUCUUGGCUUGCCAAGGUGCUGGGAUUACAGGUGUGAGCCACUGCUCCCAGCCCAGUAGCCAAGAUUAUUAAUUCCUUAUGGCUCUGGGGAGCAUUCAGAGAGACAAAAGAACACUUCAUCCAGUUACUCACUAUUCACCUACUGUACAGCUUUGGUCCCUCCCCAGAGCUGGGGGACAGGUCCUGGAGAGGACUAAGUUAUACACAGUGUUGAAACUAAAGGAAGAUGAAGGCAUCAGACACUAAGCACCACAGAACUCAGGACGGCUGCGGAGAAAUCGAGUUCCCUUCAGAGCUCAUCAAAAUUCAGAUGUGUAAAGAAAAAAGGAUGUUUGUCAGGGUCAGGCUUCUCUUGGUCCACACUGAGCAUUUUACCAUCAUCUGGGAAGAGCACCAAGAGCCAUCAGGACACUGGAUCUUUUAAAAACAUGUGAGGCGAGCCAGGUGUG
Molecule: long non-coding RNA, 1018 nt
Filed under: Homo sapiens (human)
Lineage: Eukaryota; Metazoa; Chordata; Mammalia; Primates; Hominidae
Description: non-protein coding lnc-RBX1-3:1
Source: RNAcentral